Molecule: ribosomal RNA, 445 nt
Filed under: uncultured Geobacillus sp.
Lineage: Bacteria; Bacillati; Bacillota; Bacilli; Caryophanales; Anoxybacillaceae
Description: bacterial SSU rRNA
Rfam family: Bacterial small subunit ribosomal RNA
Source: RNAcentral
UGGAGCAUGUGGUUAAUUCGAAGCAACGCGAAGACCUUACAGGUCUUGACAUCCCUGACAACCCAAGAGAUUGGGCGUCCCCUUCGGGGGACAGGGUGACAGGUGGUGCAUGGGUUGUCGUCAGCUCGUGUCGUGAGAUGUUGGGUUAAGUCCCGCAACGAGCGCAACCCUCGCCUCUAGUUGCCAGCAUUCGGUUGGGCACUCUAGAGGGACUGCCGGCGACAAGUCGGAGGAAGGUGGGAUGACGUCAAAUCAUCAUGCCCCUUAUGACCUGGGCUACACACGUGCUACAAUGGGCGGUACAAAGGGCUGCGAACCCGCGAGGGGGAGCGAAUCCCAAAAAGCCGCUCUCAGUUCGGAUUGCAGGCUGCAACUCGCCUGCAUGAAGCCGGAAUCGCUAGUAAUCGCGGAUCAGCAUGCCGCGGUGAAUACGUUCCCGGGCCUU